AGCUCCAAUAGCGUAUAUUUAAGUUGUUGCAGUUAAAAGGCUCGUAGUCGAAUUUCGGAUGCAUCACAGUGAUCCGCCUCUGGUGAGUAUUGCUGUUGAUGCAUCUUUCUGUUGAGGACAGGCUCUCAGUCUUAAUUGAUUGGGACCUGGGCUCAACGAGGUUACUUUGAGUAAAUUAGAGUGUUCAAAGCAGGCGAUCGCCUUGAAUACAUUAGCAUGGAAUAGCACGAUAGGACUCUGGCCUAUCUUGCUGGUCUGUAGGACCGGAGUAAUGAUUAAGAGGGACAGUCGGGGACAUUGGUAUUUCCGAGCUAGAGGUGAAAUUCUUGGAUUUCGGAAAGACCAACUACUGCGAAAGCAUUUGUCAAGGAUGUUUUCA
This 379-nucleotide ribosomal RNA is filed under the name uncultured eukaryote. RNAcentral's name for it is "SSU rRNA". It matches the Rfam family "Eukaryotic small subunit ribosomal RNA", at positions 587 to 972 of the family's 1831-position model. The record is from RNAcentral.